RNAcentral lists this transfer RNA (85 nucleotides) under Candidatus Peribacteria bacterium. RNAcentral describes it as "tRNA-Leu". It matches the Rfam family "tRNA". From Rfam's summary of the family: Transfer RNA (tRNA) molecules are approximately 80 nucleotides in length. Their secondary structure includes four short double-helical elements and three loops (D, anti-codon, and T loops). Further hydrogen bonds mediate the characteristic L-shaped molecular structure. tRNAs have two regions of fundamental functional importance: the anti-codon, which is responsible for specific mRNA codon recognition, and the 3' end, to which the tRNAs corresponding amino acid is attached (by aminoacyl-tRNA synthetases). tRNAs cope with the degeneracy of the genetic code in two manners: having more than one tRNA (with a specific anti-codon) for a particular amino acid; and 'wobble' base-pairing, i.e. permitting non-standard base-pairing at the 3rd anti-codon position. Lineage: Bacteria; Candidatus Peregrinibacteriota; Candidatus Peribacteria. The record is from RNAcentral.
GCCGGGAUGGUGGAACUGGUAGACACGCUUGGCUUAGAACCAAGUGCCGUACGGUGUGCAGGUUCAAGUCCUGUUCCCGGUACCA